UAGGGAGGAUGGGGUCCGGACCCCCUCCCUGAGCCCACAGUAACCUUGAAAGUGGAGGGGAA
Molecule: non-coding RNA, 62 nt
Organism: Rattus norvegicus (Norway rat)
Lineage: Eukaryota; Metazoa; Chordata; Mammalia; Rodentia; Muridae
Source: Rfam